This 496-nucleotide ribosomal RNA is filed under the name uncultured bacterium. Its description in RNAcentral is "bacterial SSU rRNA". It matches the Rfam family "Bacterial small subunit ribosomal RNA", at positions 29 to 515 of the family's 1533-position model. The record is from RNAcentral.
AAUGAACGCUGGCGGCGUGUCUUAAGCAUGCAAGUCGUGCGGCAAGGGGUAGCAAUACCCCUAGAGCGGCGGACUGGUGAGUAACGCGUGGGUGAUCUGCCUCUGGGAUGGGGAUAGCCAUUAGAAAUAGUGGGUAAUACCGAAUACGCUCAUCCGGCUGUGGCUGGAUGAGGAAAGGCGCUUCGGCGCCACCCGGAGAUGAGCCCGCGUCCCAUUAGCUAGUUGGUGAGGUAACGGCCCACCAAGGCGAUGAUGGGUAGGCGGCCUGAGAGGGUGUACGCCCACACUGGGACUGAGAUACGGCCCAGACUCCUACGGGAGGCAGCAGCUAAGAAUAUUCCGCAAUGGACGAAAGUCUGACGGAGCGACGCCGCGUGGAUGACGAAGGCCGAAAGGUUGUAAAAUCCUUUUGUUGGGGAAGAAUAACCAUGGGAGGGAAUGCCCGUGGGAUGACAUGAACCGACGAAUAAGUCCCGGCUAACUACGUGCCAGCAGC